RNAcentral lists this ribosomal RNA (471 nucleotides) under uncultured organism. RNAcentral's name for it is "partial 16S ribosomal RNA". It matches the Rfam family "Bacterial small subunit ribosomal RNA", at positions 334 to 797 of the family's 1533-position model. The record is from RNAcentral.
CACUCCUACGGGAGGCAGCAGUGGGGAAUUUUGGACAAUGGGCGAAAGCCUGAUCCAGCCAUGCCGCGUGCAGGAUGAAGGCCUUCGGGUUGUAAACUGCUUUUGUACGGAACGAAACGGCCUUUUCUAAUAAAGAGGGCUAAUGACGGUACCGUAAGAAUAAGCACCGGCUAACUACGUGCCAGCAGCCGCGGUAAUACGUAGGGUGCAAGCGUUAAUCGGAAUUACUGGGCGUAAAGCGUGCGCAGGCGGUUAUGUAAGACAGUUGUGAAAUCCCCGGGCUCAACCUGGGAACUGCAUCUGUGACUGCAUAGCUAGAGUACGGUAGAGGGGGAUGGAAUUCCGCGUGUAGCAGUGAAAUGCGUAGAUAUGCGGAGGAACACCGAUGGCGAAGGCAAUCCCCUGGACCUGUACUGACGCUCAUGCACGAAAGCGUGGGGAGCAAACAGGAUUAGAUACCCGUGUAGUCCC